Molecule: ribosomal RNA, 518 nt
Filed under: uncultured Actinomycetes bacterium
Lineage: Bacteria; Bacillati; Actinomycetota; Actinomycetes
Description: bacterial SSU rRNA
Rfam family: Bacterial small subunit ribosomal RNA
Source: RNAcentral
CUUCGGUGAUGGAUUAGCGGCGAACGGGUGAGGAACACGUGAAGAAUCUGCCUUCAACUCUGGGAUAACUCCGGGAAACCGGGGCUAAUACCGGAUAUGAGCCUUGAUCGCAUGAUCGGGGCUGGAAAGUUUUUCGGUUGAAGAUGACUUCGCGGCCUAUCAGCUUGUUGGUGAGGUAAUGGCUCACCAAGGCGACGACGGGUAGCCGGCCUGAGAGGGCGACCGGCCACACUGGGACUGAGACACGGCCCAGACUCCUACGGGAGGCAGCAGUGGGGAAUAUUGGGCAAUGGACGAAAGUCUGACCCAGCGACGCCGCGUGCGGGAUGAAGGCCUUCGGGUUGUAAACCGCUUUCAGCAGGGAAUAAGCGCAAGUGAAGGUACCUGCAGAAGAAGCACCGGCUAACUAUGUGCCAGCAGCCGCGGUAAUACAUAGGGUGCAAGCGUUGUCCGGAAUUAUUGGGCGUAAAGAGCUCGUAGGUGGUUUGUUACGUCGGUUGUGAAAUUCAGGGGCUCAA